This 397-nucleotide ribosomal RNA is filed under the name Siniperca roulei. RNAcentral describes it as "partial 12S ribosomal RNA". It matches the Rfam family "Bacterial small subunit ribosomal RNA", at positions 801 to 1408 of the family's 1533-position model. The record is from RNAcentral. Lineage: Eukaryota; Metazoa; Chordata; Actinopteri; Centrarchiformes; Sinipercidae.
AUCGAUAGCACCCUACACCUGCUAUCCGCCCGGGAACUACGAGCAUUAGCUUGAAACCCAAAGGACUUGGCGGUGCUUUAGAUCCACCUAGAGGAGCCUGUUCUAGAACCGAUAACCCCCGUUAAACCUCACCCUUCCUUGCUUUUCCCGCCUAUAUACCGCCGUCGUCAGCUUACCCUGUGAAGGUCCUAUAGUAAGCAUAAUUGGCACAGCCCAAAACGUCAGGUCGAGGUGUAGCGUAUGGAGGGGGAAGAAAUGGGCUACAUUCCCUAAUGCAGUGAAUACGAACGAUGCACUGAAAUGUAUAUCUGAAGGAGGAUUUAGCAGUAAGCAGGAAAUAGAGUGUUCCGCUGAAAUUGGCCCUGAAGCGCGCACACACCGCCCGUCACCUCAAAAA